CAACUGGAGAGUUUGAUCCUGGCUCAGAGCGAACGUUAGCGGCGCGCUUAACACAUGCAAGUCGAACGAGAAAGCGUCCUUCGGGGCGCCGGUAAAGUGGCGUCCGGGUGCGUAACACGUAGGUAAUCUACCCUCAGGAGGGGGAUAACGCUUCGAAAGGGGUGCUAAUACCGCAUAAGACCACGCCGAGCCCGCUUGGCGAGGUAAAAGCUGGCCUCUGCAUGCAAGCUAGCACCUGAGGAUGAGCCUGCGGCCCAUCAGCUAGUUGGUAGGGUAAUGGCCUACCAAGGUUAUGACGGGUAGCUGGUCUGAGAGGAUGAUCAGCCACACUGGUACUGAAACACGGGCCAGACUCCUACGGGAGGCAGCAGUGGGGAAUAUUGGACAAUGGGCG
Molecule: ribosomal RNA, 394 nt
Filed under: Deltaproteobacteria bacterium
Lineage: Bacteria; Pseudomonadati; Myxococcota; Myxococcia
Description: bacterial SSU rRNA
Rfam family: Bacterial small subunit ribosomal RNA
Source: RNAcentral